GACCCGUCCUGAAACACGGACCAAGGAGUCUAACAUGCACGCAAGUCGUAGGGUCGUCCGAAACCCGAAGGCGAAGUGAAAGCGAAGGGGUAGGCCCGCCGCAAGGCUGUGGCCCACUCUAAGGUGGGAUCCCUUCUCCUUUGAGGGAGGGGCGCACCACCGGCCCGUCUCGUCCGCGCUGUCGGUGAGGCGGAGCUCGAGCGUGUGCGUUGGUACCCGAAAGAUGGUGAACUAUGCCUGAGCAGGACGAAGCCAGAGGAAACUCUGGUGGAAGUUCGUAGCGAUUCUGACGUGCAAAUCGAUCGUCUAACUUUGGUAUAGGGGCGAAAGACUAAUCGAACCAUCUAGUAGCUGGUUCCCUCCGAAGUUUCCCUCAGGAUAGCUGGCAUUCGCACUCAGUUUUAUCCGGUAAAGCGAAUGA
Molecule: ribosomal RNA, 421 nt
Filed under: Rhodope roskoi
Lineage: Eukaryota; Metazoa; Mollusca; Gastropoda; Rhodopidae
Description: eukaryotic LSU rRNA
Rfam family: Eukaryotic large subunit ribosomal RNA
Source: RNAcentral